RNAcentral lists this transfer RNA (70 nucleotides) under Dipodomys ordii (Ord's kangaroo rat). It matches the Rfam family "tRNA". Rfam says of the family: Transfer RNA (tRNA) molecules are approximately 80 nucleotides in length. Their secondary structure includes four short double-helical elements and three loops (D, anti-codon, and T loops). Further hydrogen bonds mediate the characteristic L-shaped molecular structure. tRNAs have two regions of fundamental functional importance: the anti-codon, which is responsible for specific mRNA codon recognition, and the 3' end, to which the tRNAs corresponding amino acid is attached (by aminoacyl-tRNA synthetases). tRNAs cope with the degeneracy of the genetic code in two manners: having more than one tRNA (with a specific anti-codon) for a particular amino acid; and 'wobble' base-pairing, i.e. permitting non-standard base-pairing at the 3rd anti-codon position. Lineage: Eukaryota; Metazoa; Chordata; Mammalia; Rodentia; Heteromyidae. The record is from Rfam by way of RNAcentral.
GUAGGUAUCUCAGUGGUAGAGUGCUUGCCUUGCAUGCAUGAGGCCCUGGGUUCCAUUCCUCAGCACUACA